GUUUAUUGAUUGGCGUAUGUUGAACCAGCCUUGCAUCCGAGGGAUGAAGCCCACUUGAUUAUGGUGGAUAAGCUUUUUGAUGUGCUGCUGGAUUCGGUUGGAAGAAAAACAAAUGACCUUGGAAUGAAAAACUUUAAGGCUAAUCCAUCAAGACGUGUCAACAAAGAGAUCAUCCCUCUAUGUGUUCCAGGGUCAAAUGUGCAAAAGUUGGACAGUAUUUAUUUGUUCUAACGUCCUACAUUAGAGAUCACCAAGCAAGACUUUUUUCAAGAAGCAAAAACUCUCAUUGCCCAACAUUAUGAGAAAAUAAAUGAGAAUAAAGUUCAAGGUACUUCUAUAAAUGUUUUUAGAAAGAAACACCAAAAACCGAAAUCUGGCAAAUACAUACCUUUGGAGAUUGACAAAAAGGUAACACGUGAUGUGGUGCAAGAACAUCGGGCCGCACUCAGAAGGAUUUGCUUUCCCAAGGAGCUUUCCAAAAGCGAGCAUCUUCAGGAACCCGCACAACGAAUCUCCUUCAAGGAACCACACAUUUUUAGUAGAAGAGAAAGAUGCAGGCCCAUAGAUCUAAUUACAAAAGACAAAGCAUUCUAUGACUGGAGAGGAUUUGUGCCGACAAGGUCUUUCCGUUUGGCUUGUGACUCCCGUCGAGUUAGUUUCUCUCAAUCAUCAUCAGUAUUUCGGGAUUAUUAUUCUAAAACCUU
Molecule: small RNA, 704 nt
Filed under: Pan troglodytes (chimpanzee)
Lineage: Eukaryota; Metazoa; Chordata; Mammalia; Primates; Hominidae
Description: processed transcript
Source: RNAcentral